This 534-nucleotide ribosomal RNA is filed under the name Triticum aestivum (bread wheat). RNAcentral's name for it is "partial small subunit ribosomal RNA". The record is from RNAcentral. Lineage: Eukaryota; Viridiplantae; Streptophyta; Magnoliopsida; Poales; Poaceae.
AUGGGUCGUCCUGACUCGGAGGCGCCGGCGUCGAGCGUUGCCUACGGAGGCAGCGGAGGCGCCGCGGCUCCGGCGGGGACGAGGGCAGACUCGCCUUUCGAGACCAACGUGGCGAUCAUCCUGGCCGCGCUCUUCUUCGGGCUGCUCCUCAUAAUCGCACUCAACUCGCUGGCGCGGUGCGCGCUCCGGUACGUGGGGCGCGGGGCCGCGGCCGCUGCCGGCGAGGGCCGGGCGUCGGCGCGGGUGGCCUGCAGCGGCAGCGGCAUCAAGAGGCGCGUCCUCAGGAGCCUCCCCGUGGAGGUGUACGGCUCCGGGGAGGACAUCGACGACGUGUGCGCUAUAUGCCUGAGCGAGUUCGUGGACGGCGAGAAGGUGCGCGUGCUGCCGCUCUGCGGGCAUGGCUUCCACGUCCGCUGCGUCGACGCCUGGCUGGUGUCCCACGGCUCCUGUCCCACGUGCCGGCAGCCGGUCAUCGAUGGCGCGCCCGAGAAGGCGGCAGACACGAACACGGUCGUCACCGUGGUCAUCGUGUGA